This is a long non-coding RNA of Setaria italica (foxtail millet), 1005 nucleotides long. RefSeq lists it as uncharacterized. The transcript is spliced from 2 exons. The record is from RefSeq and is a predicted model, not a curated record. Lineage: Eukaryota; Viridiplantae; Streptophyta; Magnoliopsida; Poales; Poaceae.
AGAAUUAGGCAAAAAUCUGACGUGCCAUAGAAAUUAAAGAGUGAAAACCGAGGACACCGGGUCGCAUGCAGUAAAUCGGAUCGGCGCGUGGACCAAGACGCUCGAAACGAGGAAAAUUGACGUUGGAGCGACCCGUCAUUUCUUUCUUUCCUCCCGGAUUUCCCUCGACCUCUGGUCCGCUGCGCCACCGCCUUCCCCGCUGCCAUGCCCGGCGCGCACUCCAGGUUCCCCCCUGCGAGCUAUACUGCUGGAGCACCGCAAGUUUUUGGCGCGUGAAUCCUCUCGGCAUCCAGGUGCGGCGCCAUAGUCUGCCUAUCCCCAUUUAUCUUGCAGCAUCCUUUUUCCCCAAUCUCUCGCCUUCUCUAAUCUAUCUGCUUGCCGGCUAGAAUCGGCCAAAUCCAACCCCAAUCGUAUAUCCUUGAGGAAGAAAUUGUCCCCAACUCAUGCGCAACAAUGAAUCGGGGGGGACUUCAAUCGAGAUCUACUCAAGCCGCCGUUGAAUCGGCCGCCCUUGCUGUAGUCGUCGGUGGUGCUCCAGACGCUGCUGCUGUUGCCACCGGUGGUACUCCAGUCGCCGGUGGUGCUCCAGGAGCUGGUGGUCUUCUAGGCCCUCGUGCUCCAGCCACCAGUAGUUUUCCUGCUCUUAGUGCUUAUCCCGCCUGUGCUUGGUGACCAGCUGAAUCUCUUGGCGCAUCCUUCACGGUUGAAUCGUCUCUUUGCGGCUCUGAUUGCUGAUUGUAUUAGCAGUCAUGCCAUUUUGGUGUUGCAGUGCUCUGGGUGAACUGAUUGCACAUUGCUUACUGGAUCAACUGCUACCAAAAUUAGUAUCUAAAGUUUAUUUCGGAUUGUCAUGAGAGACUACCUAAAUUACUAUGUAUUAAGCAUGGCAACACUAUCUAUUAUCUGCCGUGUAAUGAACCUAUUUCGGGUUACAGUUCGAGCCCUACCGGUUUGCCUAGCUGAAUUACUUUGCAUCAAUGUUGAUACAUGUAUUUCUUUCACCGA